RNAcentral lists this ribosomal RNA (1239 nucleotides) under Salmonella enterica. RNAcentral describes it as "partial 23S ribosomal RNA". It matches the Rfam family "Bacterial large subunit ribosomal RNA", at positions 1709 to 2925 of the family's 2925-position model. The record is from RNAcentral. Lineage: Bacteria; Pseudomonadati; Pseudomonadota; Gammaproteobacteria; Enterobacterales; Enterobacteriaceae.
GGAACUAGGCAAAAUGGUGCCGUAACUUCGGGAGAAGGCACGCUGACACGUAGGUGAAGUGAUUUACUCACGGAGCUGAAGUCAGUCGAAGAUACCAGCUGGCUGCAACUGUUUAUUAAAAACACAGCACUGUGCAAACACGAAAGUGGACGUAUACGGUGUGACGCCUGCCCGGUGCCGGAAGGUUAAUUGAUGGGGUCAGCGCAAGCGAAGCUCCUGAUCGAAGCCCCGGUAAACGGCGGCCGUAACUAUAACGGUCCUAAGGUAGCGAAAUUCCUUGUCGGGUAAGUUCCGACCUGCACGAAUGGCGUAAUGAUGGCCAGGCUGUCUCCACCCGAGACUCAGUGAAAUUGAACUCGCUGUGAAGAUGCAGUGUACCCGCGGCAAGACGGAAAGACCCCGUGAACCUUUACUAUAGCUUGACACUGAACAUUGAGCCUUGAUGUGUAGGAUAGGUGGGAGGCUUUGAAGUGUGGACGCCAGUCUGCAUGGAGCCGACCUUGAAAUACCACCCUUUAAUGUUUGAUGUUCUAACGUGGACCCGUUACCCGGGUUGCGGACAGUGUCUGGUGGGUAGUUUGACUGGGGCGGUCUCCUCCUAAAGAGUAACGGAGGAGCACGAAGGUUGGCUAAUCCUGGUCGGACAUCAGGAGGUUAGUGCAAUGGCAUAAGCCAGCUUGACUGCGAGCGUGACGGCGCGAGCAGGUGCGAAAGCAGGUCAUAGUGAUCCGGUGGUUCUGAAUGGAAGGGCCAUCGCUCAACGGAUAAAAGGUACUCCGGGGAUAACAGGCUGAUACCGCCCAAGAGUUCAUAUCGACGGCGGUGUUUGGCACCUCGAUGUCGGCUCAUCACAUCCUGGGGCUGAAGUAGGUCCCAAGGGUAUGGCUGUUCGCCAUUUAAAGUGGUACGCGAGCUGGGUUUAGAACGUCGUGAGACAGUUCGGUCCCUAUCUGCCGUGGGCGCUGGAGAACUGAGGGGGGCUGCUCCUAGUACGAGAGGACCGGAGUGGACGCAUCACUGGUGUUCGGGUUGUCAUGCCAAUGGCACUGCCCGGUAGCUAAAUGCGGAAGAGAUAAGUGCUGAAAGCAUCUAAGCACGAAACUUGCCCCGAGAUGAGUUCUCCCUGAGACUUUAGGUCUCCUGAAGGAACGUUGAAGACGACGACGUUGAUAGGCCGGGUGUGUAAGCGCAGCGAUGCGUUGAGCUAACCGGUACUAAUGAACCGUGAGGCUUAACCUU